Molecule: ribosomal RNA, 484 nt
Filed under: uncultured bacterium
Lineage: Bacteria
Description: partial 16S ribosomal RNA
Rfam family: Bacterial small subunit ribosomal RNA
Source: RNAcentral
AUUGAACGCUGGCGGCAGGCCUAACACAUGCAAGUCGAGCGGAUGAAGGGAGCUUGCUCCUGGAUUCAGCGGCGGACGGGUGAGUAAUGCCUAGGAAUCUGCCUGGUAGUGGGGGAUAACGUCCGGAAACGGGCGCUAAUACCGCAUACGUCCUGAGGGAGAAAGUGGGGGAUCUUCGGACCUCACGCUAUCAGAUGAGCCUAGGUCGGAUUAGCUAGUUGGUGGGGUAAAGGCCUACCAAGGCGACGAUCCGUAACUGGUCUGAGAGGAUGAUCAGUCACACUGGAACUGAGACACGGUCCAGACUCCUACGGGAGGCAGCAGUGGGGAAUAUUGGACAAUGGGCGAAAGCCUGAUCCAGACAUGGCGCGUGUGUGAAGAAGGUCUUCGGAUUGUAAAGCACUUUAAGUUGGGAGGAAGGGCAGUAAGUUAAUACCUUGCUGUUUUGACGUUACCAACAGAAUAAGCACCGGCUAACUUCGUG